AUGCAGUCGAACGAGAACAGAAGAGAGCUUGCUCUCUUGCUGCUAAGUGGCGCACGGGUGAGUAAUAUAUAGGUAAUAUGCCUCUUACUAAGGGAUAAUUGUUGGAAACGACUUGUAAUACCUUAUAUGCCUUUUGAACAUAAGUUCGUAAAGGGAAAGAUUUAUCGGUAAGAGAUUAGCCUGUACGGUAUCAGAUAGUUGGUGGGGUAAUGGCCUACCAAGUCUAUGACACCUAACUGGUUUGAGAGGAUGAUCAGUCACACUGGAACUGAGACACGGUCCAGACUCCUACGGGAGGCAGCAGUGGGGAAUAUUGCACAAUGGACGAAAGUCUGAUGCAGCAACGCCGCGUGGAGGAUGACACAUUUCGGUGCGUAAACUCCUUUUAUAUGAGAAGAUAAUGACGGUAUCAUAUGAAUAAGCACCGGCUAACUCCGUGCCAGCAGCCGCGGUAAUACGGGGGGUGCAAGCGUUACUCGGAAUCACUGGGCGUAAAGAGCAUGUAGGCGGGUGAAUAAGUUGGAAGUGAAAUCCUAUAGCUUAACUAUAGAACUGCUUCCAAAACUGUUCACCUAGAGUAUGGGAGAGGUAGAUGGAAUUUCUGGUGUAGGGGUAAAAUCCGUAGAGAUCAGAAGGAAUACCGAUUGCGAAGGCGAUCUACUGGAACAUUACUGACGCUCANAUGCGAAAGCGUGGGGAGCAAACAGGAUUAGAUACCCUGGUAGUCCACGCCCUAAACGAUGUACACUA
Molecule: ribosomal RNA, 750 nt
Filed under: uncultured Campylobacterota bacterium
Lineage: Bacteria; Pseudomonadati; Campylobacterota
Description: bacterial SSU rRNA
Rfam family: Bacterial small subunit ribosomal RNA
Source: RNAcentral